This 1365-nucleotide long non-coding RNA is filed under the name Anas platyrhynchos platyrhynchos (common mallard). RNAcentral describes it as "lncRNA (ENSAPLG00000029802.1)". Lineage: Eukaryota; Metazoa; Chordata; Aves; Anseriformes; Anatidae. The record is from RNAcentral.
UGGCUGGGAGGGGGGUGUUUGGGGAGGGGUUGGGGGGUCCUUGCCACAUCCCCAAAGCUUGCGUGGGGAUUGAGCCUGUGCACCCCAUGGUGACCGCUGUGGGUAUGGGGUGGGGGCCUCCGUGUGCCCCCCCCCGUGGGAUUUUGGGGAUCCCCUGUGGAAUUUGGGGCUCCCCCAUGGGAUUUGGGUCUCCACCUUGCUCCUGUCCUCAUCCCGCCCUCCCCAAAUCCCUUGGGACCAUUUGGGGGGGGGGGCCCCGGUGGGUUCGGGGGGGGGGGGGGCGCCUCCAUCCCGUUGGCCCCGCAGAGUUGCGUGCGGGCGCCCCCCUCUCACCCAGUUCCUCCCGGCUUCUGCAUUAUGGCUUCUAUUUUUUUAUUACUUAUUUAUUUUAUUAUUAUUAUUUUUUUAUGAUCUGCCGUUCUUCCUGUUUCUGCCGGAGCGGGACGGGAAGCGCUGCCCGGCGUGGGGCGGCCGUGGGCGUGCGGGGGCAGCAGGGCCGGGACCGUGGCUGCGCCGUGGCUGCGCCGUGGCUGCACCGUGCCCCGUGCCAUAACCAAGCCGUGCGGUGCCGUGCCUGUGCCGCGGCCCCGAGCUGUGCAGUGCCGUGGCUUCACCGUGGCGGUGCCGUGGUUGCACCGUGGUGGUGCCGUGGCCGUUCUGUGUCUGUGCUGGGUCCAUGCCGUGGCCGUGCCGUGGUUGCACCGUGGCGGUGCUGGGUCCGUGCUGGGUUCAUGCUGUGGCCACACCAUGGCUGUGCCCUGAUGGUGCCAUGGUGGUGCCGUGGCCGUGCCGUGGUUGCGCCGUGGCUGUGCCGUGGCCGUGUUGUGUCUGUGCCAUGGCAGUGCCGUGUCUGCACCGUGGCUGUGCCAUGGCCACACCGUGUCCGUGCCAUGUCCAUGCCCCGGCAGUGCCCAGGCGGUGCCGUGUCCAUGUCCUGGUGGUGCCGUGGCCAUGCCAUGUCCAUGCUGUGGCCAUGCCGUGGCCGUGCCGUGGUGGCGGUGCCGCGUCCCGCCGGUGGCAGCCCGCUUGUGCUUGGCGCGGCCGAGCCCAGCAGCCAUUUGUCACGCUGGCUGCAGGAAGUUGGAGCAGCGCUGGGCUUUUGUUCCCAAACCUGCUGGCUAAGCACGGCCGCCGCCGCGCUCGCUCUUGCACAGACACACACGCGCCUCCGGGCUUUUUUUUUUUUUUUCUCAUUUUCUCUCAUUUUUUUUCCCUCCCUCUCCUUUUUUUUAUUUUUUUUUAGGGGGGAGGCUCGCAAGAAAAGCCCCGGCUGCUCACUUGCUGCCUGGGCUGAGGGGGGGGCCGUGCACGUGGGUGCUCACACGUGUGCACACGCAUGUGGCGGUGGUGCCCGCGAGGGUCUGG